AACGGGGUUGCAUAAACAUUGUCCUGGGAUACUGUGAGUCACGGUUGUUCGGUGGCACUAUUCGUGGCCAUUAUCAGAUACUAUGAAUGCACUUUACAUGGGAAAUAAUAAUGAGACCGCAGAAAUACGGUUGCGUUACGGAGAGUAUCUAAAUGUCGGGCACAGUAACAUGACUGCAGGUACCCGUGGAACAAUCGAGGAUUACCAACUAGUGAUAACACACGUAAUCUCGUGGACAAUACCGGAUUAAAUUGGUCCGCGAGAAUUGCAAGUCAAUAACGCCCCCGUUGGUUGAUCAAGAGCGAACCAAUAUGUAUAUGCGCCAGUAUGGCAUAAGUGGAACUAAAUUUCCCCAGAAAUUGUAUUCCCGGUGCACGUAGAUGGACUCUGUUCGAGCAGACUGCAUUCGGAUACAUUUUUAAAAUGGUUAUAACGAAUGCUUAUUCGAAUUCAAUACUUGCCUUAAUUCGCUAACCUGACUCGUCGAUAUUGAACGUCAAUAAAGAUUCCCGGGUGUCGAAUGUUACUCGAUUUCGUUCGGCGAGUGAAAAUGCAUUAGAGCGGCGCGAUUCACGAUUAAAUACCUAGAAGUCUCGCAAAGCAAAGAAUUCUCAUGGAGUAAAAGUGCAGCCAUAAUAAUAACAACACGCCGAACCAGAAGAUUUCCGUCAGCCGUAUAAUAAUUUCUGAGCCAUUAGCCUUCUUUUCUAAAGGGAUAAAAGCCAUCGAGGGGUUGUUACUAGCCGUUACUAGCCGUGCGUAAUGUCGGGGUGCCUUUUCUAGGGUUGCCAAUGUCACCGCUUAUUGCCAGACGAGCAUAUGUGUUCACGGUGCUAGAUUGGGGAGAAUAAAACCCCAUUCAUAUGUCAUUCUGUCACCUUUAUUCGUACCAUGAACGUGUACACGCUUCAGCCACGGCACGAACGACAAAUAUUCGCCACCCUGUAU
Molecule: long non-coding RNA, 948 nt
Organism: Cephus cinctus (wheat stem sawfly)
Lineage: Eukaryota; Metazoa; Arthropoda; Insecta; Hymenoptera; Cephidae
Exons: 2
Source: RefSeq, a predicted model, not a curated record